CCAAGGGUACUCUGGUUACAAUAAUUUUAGUUAUGAUGCCUCAAACUACAGGACAAACUAUACAGGAGGACUGACUGAGGAGGAACAAUUAGAAGCAGCAAUUCGGGCAAGUCUAAACGACUGUGGGGCCUACGGUAAUGGCAGAAGACCAUACACCGUUAGGAGUGAAGGACGACUGAGCGAAGAGGAAAUGAGGCAGAAAAGAAUUUAUCGAUUUACAAGAUGAUUAUUGGCUGAAUCCUUUCCAUCCGCCACUGUUAGCCCAUUAAUAGUUGCAUCUUGUCAGUAUUUGCACAGUUCUUGCGCAUUUUCAUGUAAAAUCCAUUUUGCAAUCAAGAUUGCAGGUUUCUGCCAUGUUUAUUCCAUGUUCUUACUUUAGAUAUCAUAUAACCCACCUUUAUAAUUUCUUCAAAAAUUUUGAGUUUGGUUUGACACUGGUGGAAUGUUGGCCAAGAAGUGCAAAGUUGAAAUCAUAACCUUAACUAGUGCAUAUACAGUGAAGGUGGGAGAACGGGCUGAACACUUUGUACCAUGACUGGGUUUAGCAUUUAAAAUGAGUUGCUAGGCUAGCUGGUGGAGGUGAGCAUCCUAGCUGCACAGAAACAGUUGGAUGAGUGAGCUAAAUUGGACCAAAUGGUCUUCCUCAUCCAGCACUAUCUUGUUACUGGCAUCAAUGGUAUUUGAAGGAAUCACAGGAUUGCUUCCAGCAUGCCAACCUAGCUGGGAGGCCACAAUCCAAGGCAGUGAGGUGCAUUGAUUAGAUCUGUGUACUGAUUCUCUGAUGCAUAACUUUCUGCUGACAACACAUGAUCUCCACACAAUUUCCAAUGUGUCUUCCCAACCUGGACAGUAAUGAAAGGCUUGUUUUUUUAAUAGCACUUCUACACUUUGUCAGAAAUAUCUCAAGACUUUCAUAUGAAGAGUACUACUUAAGCGCAGUGGUUAUUUUAUCAUCCACUGCUCAACUGCUUCAUUAAGUUGGCAAGAAAAGGAACUUUAAAAGCCAAUAAAGCCUUCGAUAUGGUAAAAUAAAUAAGUAAUUCUUGUACUAAAUGAUUUUAUUUGUCUUUAUUUAGAAUUCAGUGUUGCUGCACUCCAGUGACAGGCUUCAAUUUCUACAAUGGCAGUGUUUAUGCUGUAAUGGUUAAUCUAGAAUGGGGCACAGGAGAUAGAUCCACGCUGCCUACAAAAGUAAAUUCAAGAAAUCCCAUAUUUAGAUAGCAAAAAGUUAAGCCAAGAGUAUAGUGGAAUGUUUUAUUUGUGAACAUUUAAUGUAUAGCAGUUAGUGUUCUUUAAAGUCAACCAUGUAACUUGGUAAUUGUUGCAUUUAGAAUGAAUUACAACAAAAAUGUUUUUCUUUGCCUUUACUGGAUGAAUGAUGAGGUAGACUGCAGAGUAUGAAAUCAAGAUCACAAUGGAGGGUGGUGUGGUGGUAGUGAGGAACAUUACAGUGUAGCUUGAAAAAUAAUCAACAAUAAUUUGCCUGUUAAAUCAGUUUAAUGUAUGGGUGGUUAAGGUUUAGGUGAAUGACCGUUGUUGGUAACUGGACUCAUGAAAAGUGAAUCUAUUUACUCACACUGUUUCUACAAAUGGAUUUCAUCCUAUUCAACCACUGUUUUGAGACUUUAUGACAAUACACACAAGUCCAAAAUCAAAAUAUAAUCAUGCAUUUCAUGUUCAUCAUUCUAGAACUAGCUGAGUAAAUGGAAUGGUGUGUGAUUUGCUGUAUUAUUUAAAAAUAACUUCUUUUUUCAAAAUAGUUACCUCUUUAUGCUGAUGAUUGUUUUGCUCCAUAGAUUAUGUGCAAACAGUGCAAAAGGCUUGGCUUUAUAUGUUUGAUUUCCUUUAUUGCUGCUCCCCAUUCAUAUCAGAAUUGUGUUUGAAAAUAUGAAUCAUAAGUUUUUAGAUCUGGUUACAUCACUAGAAACCAAUUGAUUUUAGUUUUUCAAAGCAACCUUUCAUGUGGGUAGGAAAAGUUCUCUAAUUAUCUUUUCAAUGUUACAUGAUGUGAGCCUUAUGAAUCCUAGCUUUUUGAUUAUUACACUUGCAUUCAAUAAACACUGUGUACUUAUUAAUGUGCCUUGCAAAUGUAGGUCAGGGAAAAGAACAGUUCGAAUGAAACUCAUCCAAACUUAAUGGAGCUGGAGCACGAGAGUCAGAGGGUUUCCUUCUCUGACCACAUCUGAGCAGCAAAAUUACAGAGGCACUGCCAAGUUUCCUGAUUUAGAAAUGUCUUUCUUUUCAAUUUGAGAUUAUUUGAUUUCAGAGUCUUAAAAUGAGUUUCUAAUAUAACCAACAUUGAAUAAUUAUUUCACUUUUGUAUUUGUACAAAGAAAAAUAAAAAUAUUACUCUUUCUA
Molecule: long non-coding RNA, 2358 nt
Organism: Rhincodon typus (whale shark)
Lineage: Eukaryota; Metazoa; Chordata; Chondrichthyes; Orectolobiformes; Rhincodontidae
Exons: 2
Source: RefSeq, a predicted model, not a curated record